This 775-nucleotide ribosomal RNA is filed under the name uncultured Neocallimastigales. RNAcentral's name for it is "partial large subunit ribosomal RNA". It matches the Rfam family "Eukaryotic large subunit ribosomal RNA", at positions 24 to 616 of the family's 3401-position model. Lineage: Eukaryota; Fungi; Neocallimastigomycota; Neocallimastigomycetes; Neocallimastigales. The record is from RNAcentral.
UAUGUGAUCGUCUCUCGCAUAUCAAUAAGCGGAGGAAAAGAAACUAACAAGGAUUCCCCUAGUAACGGCGAGUGAAGCGGGAAGAGCUCAAAUUUGAAAUCUUAAAGGGUUUCCCUUUACGAAUUGUAGUUUAAAGAAGUGUUUUCUGUUGAGGUUUUGGUAAAAGUUCUUUGGAAUAGGACAUCAUAGAGGGUGAGAAUCCCGUAUUUGACCUUUACUUUCAACUUUGUGAUACACUUUCAAAGAGUCGGAUUGUUUGGGAAUGCAGUCCAAAAUGGGUGGUAAAUUUCAUCUAAAGCUAAAUAUUGGCGAGAGACCGAUAGCGAACAAGUACCGUGAGGGAAAGAUGAAAAGAACUUUGAAAAGAGAGUUAAACAGUACGUGAAAUUGUCAAAAGGGAAGCGUUUGACACCAGUGUUGUUUUUCUGAAAAUCAAUUAAAGAACUGUUUAUGCUAAGUUGUUUAGACUUUAUCAGCUAUCUGUUUAGUUUGGAGCUUUUCUUUAAUGCACUUUUCAGUUAACAAGUCAACAUCAAUUUCUUUUGCUGUAAAAAAGCUUGAGGAAGGUGGCUUGAGAUUCGUCUUAAGUGUCUAUAGCCUCUUGCCUAUGCAGUCGGAGAGAUUGAGGUCUGCAGCGUAGAUCCUUCGGGGCUAAAUGCAUUUGUGCUAAGGUUAUAGCAUUUUAUAGACAACUUGUUGACUAUGAUUUGUCUUGUAGCUUACUCGCUUAUGUUAUUUUACCUACGCUUAGGAUGUUGAGCGCAUGUCUCUCUCU